This 404-nucleotide ribosomal RNA is filed under the name uncultured bacterium. Its description in RNAcentral is "bacterial SSU rRNA". It matches the Rfam family "Bacterial small subunit ribosomal RNA", at positions 355 to 775 of the family's 1533-position model. The record is from RNAcentral.
UGGGGAAUCUUGCCCAAUGGGCGAAAGCCUGAGGCAGCAACGCCGCGUGUGGGAUGACGGCCCUCGGGUUGUAAACCACUUUCAGCAGGGACGAAAUUGACGGUACCUGCAGAAGAAGCUCCGGCCAACUACGUGCCAGCAGCCGCGGUAAUACGUAGGGAGCGAGCGUUGUCCGGAUUUAUUGGGCGUAAAGCGCGCGUAGGCGGUUUGAUAAGCCGGGUGUGAAACCUCCAAGCUCAACUUGGAGCGGCCACUCGGAACUGUCAUGACUUGAGUCAGGUAGGGGAACACGGAAUUCCAGGUGUAGCGGUGAAAUGCUUAGAUAUCUGGAGGAACACCAGUGGCGAAGGCGGUGUUCUGGGCCUGUACUGACGCUGAUGCGCGAAAGCGUGGGGAGCGAACAG